AUCCAACUGACAAGUCCAGAAUAGGAUGAAAUGCGCGUCGUUGUAU
This 46-nucleotide non-coding RNA is filed under the name Schistosoma margrebowiei. The record is from RNAcentral. Lineage: Eukaryota; Metazoa; Platyhelminthes; Trematoda; Strigeidida; Schistosomatidae.